RNAcentral lists this ribosomal RNA (395 nucleotides) under Leptodactylus longirostris (longnose frog). RNAcentral describes it as "partial small subunit ribosomal RNA". It matches the Rfam family "Bacterial large subunit ribosomal RNA", at positions 1920 to 2467 of the family's 2925-position model. The record is from RNAcentral. Lineage: Eukaryota; Metazoa; Chordata; Amphibia; Anura; Leptodactylidae.
CUGUUCAACGGCCGCGGUAUCCUAACCGUGCGAAGGUAGCGUAAUCACUUGUUCUUUAAAUGAGGACUAGUAUGAAUGGCACCACGAAGGUUAUACUGUCUCCUUUUUCUAAUCAGUGAAACUAAUCUUCCCGUGAAGAAGCGGGAAUAAAAAUAUAAGACGAGAAGACCCUAUGGAGCUUUAAACAAACAUACAAUUGCCUUCUUUUUAGAUAUUUCAGAAGAAAACCUUUAUUUAGGCAUUUUGAUAUAGAGUUUUAGGUUGGGGUGACCACGGAGUAGAAAACAACCUCCGCAAUGAAAGGGGCUCUUCCCCUAAGCUAAGGGCUACAACCCUAAGAAUCAAAAAAUUGACACCAAUUGACCCAAUAUACUUGAUCAAUGAACCAAGUUACC